GCGGGGCGGGGACAACGGUGCGGUAGGAAGGUUGGGGUUAAUAUCGUGCGAGCGCCGUCGUCGUGGCUGCAAGGAAAUCGACACUGAUGCAACCCACUACGACCACUGCUCCUCGGCAUCAUGGGAGUGCCCCUCGCGCACGUGCAUGUGUGUGCUGCUUAGCCUCUCUUGCGCCUCAGCAUUGAGGACAGUACUAUCGUAAUUGCUUCUCCUUCAUGCUAUUGGAUUUUCCCCUUGUGCUCUAGGUUUUUUGAGUCUUGUGUUGGACGAGUCAAAUCUCUUCUUUGAUGUAUAUGUCUAAGUUCUCUUCUUCAAUUCAUGGCAUGCAUACUGCACAGACUUUAUUUAUCAUGAUUAUAAUAAUGUCGGGGAAUAAGAAAUUAAAGGAGCUCGUUUGGGGAGGGCCAUGGUCAGGCUAGCUGCAGCAGUGCCAUGGCUUUCAUUCGUGUUCAUUAUCUGAUCUUCUUCGAUGUAUACGUCUAAGUUCUCUUCUUCAAUUUUGGCAUG
Molecule: long non-coding RNA, 507 nt
Filed under: Hordeum vulgare
Lineage: Eukaryota; Viridiplantae; Streptophyta; Magnoliopsida; Poales; Poaceae
Description: long non-coding RNA (HVUL_LNC000097)
Source: RNAcentral